UACGAAGGGGGCUAGCGUUGCUCGGAAUCACUGGGCGUAAAGGGUGCGUAGGCGGGUCUUCAAGUCAGGGGUGAAAUCCUGGAGCUCAACUCCAGAACUGCCUUUGAUACUGAGGAUCUUGAGUUCGGGAGAGGUGAGUGGAACUGCGAGUGUAGAGGUGAAAUUCGUAGAUAUUCGCAAGAACACCGGUGGCGAAGGCGGCCAACUGGACCAGCACUGACGCUGAGGCGCGAAAGCGUGGGGAGCAAACAGG
This 253-nucleotide ribosomal RNA is filed under the name uncultured bacterium. Its description in RNAcentral is "partial 16S ribosomal RNA". It matches the Rfam family "Bacterial small subunit ribosomal RNA", at positions 524 to 776 of the family's 1533-position model. The record is from RNAcentral.